This 128-nucleotide transfer RNA is filed under the name Aspergillus terreus. Its description in RNAcentral is "tRNA-Lys". It matches the Rfam family "tRNA". Rfam says of the family: Transfer RNA (tRNA) molecules are approximately 80 nucleotides in length. Lineage: Eukaryota; Fungi; Ascomycota; Eurotiomycetes; Eurotiales; Aspergillaceae. The record is from RNAcentral. RNAcentral also lists the same sequence under 1 other name.
GCCCCGCUAGCUCAGUUGGUUAGAGCGCCAGACUUUUAAUCUGGAUGUCAGGAGUGUAUGUAACCAUGGACUACCUCAAGGUGUCUGUCUGAAACUAAUCCCUCAAUAGUCGAGCCUCCUGCGGGGCG